This 438-nucleotide ribosomal RNA is filed under the name uncultured bacterium. RNAcentral describes it as "partial 16S ribosomal RNA". It matches the Rfam family "Bacterial small subunit ribosomal RNA", at positions 355 to 784 of the family's 1533-position model. The record is from RNAcentral.
UGGGGAAUAUUGGACAAUGGGCGCAAGCCUGAUCCAGCAAUGCCGCGUGUGUGAAGAAGGCCUUCGGGUUGUAAAGCACUUUUAUCAGGAGCGAAACGCUGUCGGCUAAUACCCGGCGGAACUGACGGUACCUGAGGAAUAAGCACCGGCUAACUUCGUGCCAGCAGCCGCGGUAAUACGAAGGGUGCAAGCGUUAAUCGGAAUUACUGGGCGUAAAGCGUGCGUAGGCGGUUUCUUAAGUCUGCUGUGAAAUCCCCGGGCUCAACCUGGGAAUGGCAGUGGAUACUGGGAGGCUAGAGUGUGUCAGAGGGUGGUGGAAUUCCCGGUGUAGCGGUGAAAUGCGUAGAGAUCGGGAGGAACAUCAGUGGCGAAGGCGGCCACCUGGGACACANGUGACGCUGAGGCACGAAAGCGUGGGGGAGCAAACAGGAUUAGAUA